AUGGGCGCAAGCCUGAUGCAGCGACGCCGCGUGAGGGAUGACGGCCUUCGGGUUGUAAACCUCUUUCAGCAGGGACGAAGCGUGAGUGACGGUACCUGCAGAAGAAGCACCGGCCAACUACGUGCCAGCAGCCGCGGUAAUACGUAGGGUGCAAGCGUUGUCCGGAAUUACUGGGCGUAAAGAGCUCGUAGGCGGUUUGUCGCGUCGUCUGUGAAAACCAGCAGCUCAACUGUUGGCUUGCAGGCGAUACGGGCAGACUUGAGUAUUUCAGGGGAGACUGGAAUUCCUGGUGUAGCGGUGAAAUGCGCAGAUAUCAGGAGGAACACCGGUGGCGAAGGCGGGUCUCUGGGAAAUAACUGACGCUGAGGAGCGAAAGCGUGGGUAGCGAACAGGAUUAGAUACCCUGGUAGUCCACGCCGUAAACGGUGGGCGUCUAGGUGUGGGUUUCCUUCCACGGGAUCCGUGCCGUAGCUAACGCAUUAAGCGCCCCGCCUGGGGAGUACGGCCG
RNAcentral lists this ribosomal RNA (508 nucleotides) under Rhodococcus sp. HCUBPB5. Its description in RNAcentral is "bacterial SSU rRNA". It matches the Rfam family "Bacterial small subunit ribosomal RNA", at positions 371 to 888 of the family's 1533-position model. The record is from RNAcentral. Lineage: Bacteria; Bacillati; Actinomycetota; Actinomycetes; Mycobacteriales; Nocardiaceae.